This 468-nucleotide ribosomal RNA is filed under the name uncultured bacterium. Its description in RNAcentral is "partial 16S ribosomal RNA". It matches the Rfam family "Bacterial small subunit ribosomal RNA", at positions 28 to 507 of the family's 1533-position model. The record is from RNAcentral.
GACGAACGCUGGCGGCGUGCUUAACACAUGCAAGUCGAACGGAAAGGCCCUGCUUUUGUGGGGUGCUCGAGUGGCGAACGGGUGAGUAACACGUGAGUAACCUGCCCUUGACUUUGGGAUAACUUCAGGAAACUGGGGCUAAUACCGGAUAGGAGCUCCUGCUGCAUGGUGGGGGUUGGAAAGUUUCGGCGGGUGGGGAUGGACUCGCGGCUUAUCAGCUUGUUGGUGGGGGAGUGGCUUACCAAGGCUUUGACGGGUAGCCGGCCUGAGAGGGUGACCGGCGACAUUGGGACUGAGAUACGGCCCAGACUCCUACGGGAGGCAGCAGUGGGGAAUAUUGCACAAUGGGCGGAAGCCUGAUGCAGCAACGCCGCGUGCGGGAUGACGGCCUUCGGGUUGUAAACCGCUUUCGCCUGUGACGAAGCGUGAGUGACGGUAAUGGGUAAAGAAGCACCGGCUAACUACGUG